UGGGGAAUAUUGCGCAAUGGGGGAAACCCUGACGCAGCAACGCCGCGUGAAGGAUGAAGGUUUUCGGAUUGUAAACUUCUUUGAUGAGGGACGAACAAAAUGACGGUACCUCAAAAACAAGCCACGGCUAACUACGUGCCAGCAGCCGCGGUAAUACGUAGGUGGCGAGCGUUGUCCGGAAUUACUGGGUGUAAAGGGCGUGUAGGCGGGACUGUAAGUCAGAUGUGAAAUUCUGAGGCUUAACCUCAGCGCUGCAUCUGAAACUGUGGUUCUUGAGUGUCGGAGAGGAAAGUGGAAUUCCCAGUGUAGCGGUGAAAUGCGUAGAUAUUGGGAGGAACACCAGUGGCGAAGGCGACUUUCUGGACGACAACUGACGCUGAGGCGCGAAAGCGUGGGGAGCAAACAGG
Molecule: ribosomal RNA, 407 nt
Filed under: Bacillota bacterium
Lineage: Bacteria; Bacillati; Bacillota
Description: Firmicutes bacterium partial 16S ribosomal RNA
Rfam family: Bacterial small subunit ribosomal RNA
Source: RNAcentral